This 1624-nucleotide long non-coding RNA is filed under the name Capsella grandiflora. RNAcentral describes it as "long non-coding RNA (CGRA_LNC000284)". The record is from RNAcentral. Lineage: Eukaryota; Viridiplantae; Streptophyta; Magnoliopsida; Brassicales; Brassicaceae.
UGAAAUUCUUUUCUUUAAUUUUUUGAGUUUUGCUCUGAAAUUGUUUUCCUCGAGCCAAGCCUCUGCUCGAGUUUCCUUUGUGCUGGUUUUUUGUUGUCAUUGAUGAUACCUUCACCAGUAUUAUCCAAGGGUUAGUAAUCUUGUGAGUAUAUUUUUUCUUGUCUACCAUAGUUCUAUAAUGUACAUCUUUCCACAUUUGUACAUAGUACGAGUUUUCAACUAGCCAUCAAUGGAUUCUAGUAGACACCCAACCACCAUAAAGAAGUUGGUGAAGUUCCUAGAAACGAAGAGAAACUUUUUAGUGUAUAGAAGAAAAAGAUUAUAUUGAGAUCCAUGAGAAGAUUUGUUGUCAUGGAAACCGGAGAAAAAUAUAUUAUAAAGUCACAGUUGGAUACCUAAAAGUAGGAAAAACAUUCUUUUAUUGAAAAGUGGUGAACAAGACACAGAAAGAAAACAAAACAAAUAGUAUAAAAUAUGAACUUGUUAAUUGCGAUGAUGACAAGAAGCAAAGAGUCCAGAAGAACAAACAUAAUCAAUACAUGAGAUGAUCCUAAUAAUGCAGCUAAUAACAAAUCAUGAAAUAAUCAAGAAUCCAAUGGAAAUCUUUGUGAGACCCCAAAACUUGUGAACACUAGACAAAGAGUGACCAGUCUUUGGCCAAUAGGAUGAAUCUUCAUGCACUAUCUACACAAACAUAAAUAGAAUGUACAAAAUACCAUGUGCGUAUGAUACACAAAAGGUGGGACAAGAGUCAAAGACAAUGAGAGACUAGAGAACACAUAAUUCAAAAGGACUUGAUAUAAUUCUAAUGGACUGACUCAGAAUUCUCUACACCUAGAACCAAAUAGAAAGAUGUACACUUUCUUCCCAGUAAACAUUUAAAGCACAGAACAGAUCAUCAUGUUUGGUUUCAGAUACAAAUUGGCCACACGAAACAAAAAAGGAAUCAAAACACCUUAAUGAAUAAAACAAAGAAGAAACACCAAAGCAGACAAUAACACAUGUGGAAAAGAAAUCUAAUGGAACCAAACCUCAUUGAUUAACUCUUGGGGUCCAUUUUCAUCUUCUUGUAUACCACAAAUCUGAACCCCAACAAUACUCUUCAAAUCUGAGUCACACUUUCCUGAAGAAACACAUAGCAGAUAUAAGCUGAGAGGCACAGAAUGUAUUAAUCAUUAUGAGAAUGCUACUCCAUCACAAUCAGCGAUUAAUUGAAUCAGUAUAGCUGAAAAUGAACAUGUUAUGAUGUAAUGUGCCGCAUACCUUCUCCUACAAUGCAAUGAGCGUAAGAUUUAGCAACAGAGAGAGACAGAACAAAUCCUGCGUACAAGAAAUUGAUUAAUAUAUUGGACUCUUCACCAGCGAACAGGCAUGGUUAUAAAAACUCCCACAUCAGCAAAACGUGAAAGACUGAGAUAUUACCGGAGUCCGGAGACGAAGUGAAGACUCGGACUCUGAGCUUUCUAGGGGAUGAUGGUGUGUGUGUGUGUGAAUGAAAAGGUACUCACAUAAAAUUUUAAAGGCCCAAUAAGUGGCCAAUAAUAGUAAUUUUAAAAUCAGUUUAGCCCAUACUUUUACGAGGGAGCUAAUGUUAUUGUGUAGAGUGAAAACAUAGAAACAAAAG